This 303-nucleotide ribosomal RNA is filed under the name uncultured bacterium. RNAcentral's name for it is "partial 16S ribosomal RNA". It matches the Rfam family "Bacterial small subunit ribosomal RNA", at positions 507 to 807 of the family's 1533-position model. The record is from RNAcentral.
AGCAGUCGCCACGGGAAUACGGAGGGUGCAAGCGUUAAUCGGAAUUACUGGGCGUAAAGCGCACGCAGGCGGUCUGUCAAGUCGGAUGUGAAAUCCCCGGGCUCAACCUGGGAACUGCAUUCGAAACUGGCAGGCUAGAGUCUUGUAGAGGGGGGUAGAAUUCCAGGUGUAGCGGUGAAAUGCGUAGAGAUCUGGAGGAAUACCGGUGGCGAAGGCGGCCCCCUGGACAAAGACUGACGCUCAGGUGCGAAAGCGUGGGGAGCAAACAGGAUUAGAUACCCCAGUAGUCCCUGUCUCUUAUAC